This 27855-nucleotide long non-coding RNA is filed under the name Capsicum annuum. RNAcentral's name for it is "long non-coding RNA (CANN_LNC016525)". The record is from RNAcentral. Lineage: Eukaryota; Viridiplantae; Streptophyta; Magnoliopsida; Solanales; Solanaceae.
UUUCACCCUCAAAAUACAUCAACUUCAAUAGUAUUCGUUUAUUUUUUUGAGAAUCAAAUAUCAAUGGAGAAAUCAACAAAGAACACCGAAAUUGAAAAUCCAACCAAUGACCCGAAGCACUAUUAUGUGGCCUUGGGGAUAUUGAUCGGACUGAUUUUAGCAUUGGGUGUUAUCCUAGCUUCUUCGAUGAUUAGGACUACUACAAAAUUUCAAAAUCCUAAGUUUCGUCUUAUAUCGUCAACCUCACAUACUCCUAGUGUUAUUAUAACAAGAAAUUUUAUGAACGGUAUGAUGUUGCACAAUCCCGACAGUUGGAACCUCACUUUCAUGAUCAAGAACCCUAAUAAUAAUUAUAUUCUCUACUACGAUAAUCUUGAUGUGAAGAUUACAUACAAUGACAACGUUUAUUGGCAAGCCAAUGUUUCUCCUAACUUCCAUCAAGUGGAAAACACUCAAACCCUAAUUGAUGCAGUGUUUGGUGCUUUGAAUGAUACUAGUAUUGAUUAUAUUGUUGACUACGUUGUUCAUGAUGUUCAUGUUGGUUGUCCCAUUAGAUUUUCAGUGAGUUUAAAUGGGAAAGUUCAGAUGACUCAUCGCGAAGCACAUAAUCGCUUAGACUUUGGAAAACUACAGGUUUCUUGUGAAGGUUUGGAAGUUGAGUUCUUACCGAAUGGACAUAUUGGAACGUUAAAGGUUACCUCAAAUAUCUGCGAUGUACUUCUGCGACCAUCAGUUUGUUGAUUGUCAUAUGGCAGAUCUAAAGGGAGUGUUGGGAGCUACAAUAGAGUGAUAAAGCUAGGGAUCACAUAGAAUUUUUAUAUAUAGAGAUCGAGAGGAUAGAUUUUUCUAUUUUUGUAUCGAAAUUUAUGAAAAUUAUAUACAUAAAUUUUCUUUUGCAAUACUUGUCUUCUUCUUUUCGAUUACAUUACAAUGAAUAUUGAUUACAUAUGUUUUCCUUUUGUGCUAUAUACUGCUAAGUCCAAUCUUGAUCUGGAGUCAAGAAGUACAAACUUUGUUACAUAUAGGUCAAUUUAAUAAAGAAAUUGAGCGAAUUAAACCAUCAAAGGAUGUAGAUGUUGAAGAAAUUACAUGAGAAGAUGGAUUCAAGAUUUGAACAUCAUGAAUUAAGGAUUAGGAUGUUUUUAUCUUUUAAUUUGUUAUCCAUAUAAAAGUUACGAAUUCAUAGUCAAAAGACUACAUUCAUUAUCUUCGUUUUAAUUAAGCUUCACGUUUUACACUUACUGACUAUAAGUACUCGACUUUCCAAUAUUUUGCAACAUAUCCAAAGCUCAAUCUUUAUUCUAUGACAUAAUUCCUUAUACUCUUACUUGCUGCCAACAGAGCUUGUAAUAUUUAGAAAAUUAAAAAUUUACAUCAGCUUGUUAGAAAGUUACUUUAAUUUAUUUAUUUUUUUCAAAAAAAUUGAUUGACAAAAGGAAUACAAGUUAUUUGUUAAUUGAGGAAUACUCCAUAUAUUGUCCAUUCUUUACAGCAAAAGGUUCAUAACAGACCCUAUCGUAGGAUUUGUGGUAUUCUUGAGUUAGAUUUUGGACUUAUACACUACACUAUAUUCCAACAAAAUUGUUUAAACAACUAUUUUUCAUUAAAUCAAUUGAUUUUUUUCAUGAAAAAUAAAUUUGAAGAAUAUAAAUAAAAUAAAAUAAAACAAAGUGGGGUAAGAGGGCUCAGGUAAUUAAGUGAUCAAAAAUUAAAUUAUUUAUACAUGGUUAAAAUUAUUUUUUAUGUAUAUAUAAUUGAUGUUGAACCCCCUUCAUCUAGAUUCGUGUGCCUAGUUCUUUCGAUUUUGAACCCCCUUAGUGAAAAUUCUGGCUCCGGCACUGAUUGUAAAGCGAUAGCGAGAAACACCUCUUAUUCAAGAAUGUUGAAGGGAGUUUUUUUUUUUUUUAAUUAAAGAGUGUCUCUUCCACUGAUCGUUAGUUCUAAUAAACGUAUUUAAAAUUUUGCAGUAAGUGAUUAAUUUUUUUAAAAAAAUGUUAUGUUUUUGACAAUUUUGAAGGUUAUCAUUGCAUUGACAACGGGUGCAGCAGGAUCAGCAGCAGCCAUAGUAUAUGUGGCUCACAAUGGAAACCAAGAUGCAAAUUGGCUAGCAAUUUGCCAACAAUUUGGAGAUUUUUGCCAAAGGGCCAGUGGAGCCGUGGUGGCCGCCUUUGUCACGGUGGUGAUCUUGAUCCUCCUGGUCGUUCUGUCUGCUUCAACUCUUCGAAGACACUAAAAAUGAGUUCGUCUUUAUGAAAAAAAUAUUCACUACUUUGCACAAUGCCUUCAUUUACAUGUUUCUAUAUUUCGAAAUUGGGCAAAAUGGUGAAAAGUACUUGUUAUGUCAUCCUUGUAUAUUGGGAAAAAAAAAAGAAUAAUAGUGCUAUUGGAUCUUAUUGUUGAUGUCUUUCCUUUGUUUUGUUAAGGUGUGGAUCUUGUGUUUCUGUCUUUAUUUAAAGACGGAAUACAUAUGAAGGCCCCUGAACUAUUUUACUUUUCUCGUAUAGGUACCUCAAUUAAGUCAGGUACCUAUUGAAUCCUUUGCUCCUUCACAAAUGCUUUCAAUUGAGCCCAAUUUACUAACGUGGCAAAAAAUGUAAAAUGUGUGUAAUACACACACUGAUGAUGUGACAAAGUGACGAAUUAAAUGACUAAACGUGGCAUUUUAAUUUAAAAUAAUUAUAAAAAUAAAUUUCUAAUAUAAUUAAAUCUAAAUUUUUGUUAAACAAAAUCAUUAAUACCCCUCCCCCAAAACAAACUCAACCUACCCGAUCCUCCCUCUCCCUCCCCCUCCCCCCUCCUUCUUCCCUUCCAAACUUACUUUCUUUAUUUUUGAGCAGACAAGAAAAAAAAAUGGUUCUUCAUUUUUUAACAUAGAGAAACAUUUCUUUUUGAACAAUUCAAAUCUCUUAGAAGGACUGAAUUAUCAAUCUGAUUCAAAUAAAUCGGUACAUUCUUCUCCGAAUUCAGGUAAAAAUUAUUGAAAGGUGUUGUUUUUGAACAGAAAUUUAAAGUUGGGUGUGUUAAUGCUGAUAUAAGUAAAUGUAGCUCGAUAUUGAAGAGGAAAAAGUGUAGUGAAGAUUCGGAUAACGUAAGUAAAAUCCAAAAGUCGACUACUUUUUCGUUAAGUGAUAAUGGUAAUAAUUUUGAGGAAGAAUCGGUUCCUAUUUCAAAAUCGAAACUUCAGGCAGCAGCGCCCGCGUCAAAAAGUAGCAAGAAAGUGGCGAAAAAGAAGAGUGAGGUGAAAACUAAGAAGGUUGCUAGUAUGCUUCCUUGGUGUGUUGUUCUUCAUGGUGCUCUUUGGUUGGUUGUUCCUUUAUUGAAUGUGAGAUAUGGAGGUGUGAGGCUUUUUUCGUGUUCUUUUUCUUGGCCUCUAUAGGAUUCCGAAUUACAAGUCAAAAAUUCUUGCUACCAAUGAGUACGUUGUUUCCUGUUAACCUGGUUUGCAAUUUCAGUUAACAUUGAAUGUUGAUAGAUGGUAACAAACUAUUGUUGCUUCUCUAAGACCAUGGAUUUGGAUUACAUUUGUCUUGAUUAAUGUUGAAGUCGGUCAGGUUGUGUUUCACAAAAAAAAAAAUAUGGAGGUGUGAGGGAGCCAUUUACAAAUGGAGAUUUUUGGGAGUGGAUUUUCGGAUAAACAUCACGGAAGAAUCUUUCACAUGUUUGCUUUGAGAAUUUAGGAGUUAUGAAGAUAUGCUAUUUUUUGUAUAUAGAAAAAAUGAAAAAUAGUGAGUUACGGAGAAGAAGAUGAUGUUAUUUUUUGGAUGUAAAAAUAAUAGAAAAUGGUAGAGUUAUGGAGAAGAUGAUGCUUUUUUUUUCUUUUUAAUUCUUUAAUAUGUCUUUUUUUAAUUGGUUGGAUUUUUUAUGUUUAAUUUUUUUUUUAUGAAUUAUCGUCUCUCAAUCUUCUACUGGAGAGUAUAUUACACAUGUCACGCCAUGUCAGCGCCACAUUAGCAAUUGUGUUCAAUUGAAAUGUUUUAUGAAGGAGUAAAGGGUUCAAUAGGUACCUGCCCUAAUUGAGGUACCUAUACAGAAAAAGUCGAAUAGUUGAGGGGCCAUUAUAUGUAUUUAGCCUUAUUUAAAAGGGGAAUUUGAAAAGUCUUGUAAAUCACAUUGGGAAAUUCAGGGAAUUUAUGUUCCAAAUUAUGUUGUAAUUUUUAUAGUGAAUUUUGUAUGUGUAAACACCUAUUUUUUUACCAAAGCUAAGUAUUUUUUUCCCGCCAUUUUAGUGUUCAACUUUUUUUUUUAGGGUCGAAAUUAGAUAUUUUAAGUUUAUCUUAUUUUUACUAAAUUUGUUUUAAAAUUUUUGAAAAACUACAAAAAUAGAGUCACAUUUUUAAAUAAGUUUUUAUUUUUGUUGUUUAUUCAUUUAUUUAUUUAUUUUAGGAAAAAAAAUUUCUAAAUUAUAUUUUUUUUCUUCUUUUAAAUUUUAAUAAAAAAUCUAGUGAUAUUAAUAUUUCUUAAUCAUAUUUCUAAGACUAGCUAUUUAACUUAUUUUGUAUUUUGAUAGUUUUAAAUAGAUUUUAUUAUGUUUAUUUUAUUUAAAAUAUUAAUUAAAAAAAAAAGGAAAAAAACUUAUCUUAAACUACCCAAUCUUCCCACUCCCCUCAAUCUCUCUCAUGUCCUCCACUUUCCCAUAUACAUGUUAUGCAUAACCCCCACAUUUCAUUUUUUCUGGAACACCACAUACGACACACCAUUAUAUAUUAACACACAACACAACAUAAAGGAAGGGAGUUGAAAAAAAAAGAGCAAAAACAAACACUUUGAAAACAAAAGAAAGAGAGAAACCAGAAAGAGGAGAAAGAGUAGUAGGAACCAAAGUUAGAGAAAACUCAGAAACAGAAGAGGAAAAGCCAUUAGAAAAAUACGGAAAGGAAGUGGCGAGUUUGAGUUUGGAUCCCCUCCAAGUUUUCGGUGAUGACGUUUACUUCUUUACUUGGUUUAAUUCGUCAUACAAGUUCUUAUUCAAUUCAUGUACAAUUAUUGUUAUGAUGUCAUGGCUUUUACAUUAUUUACUAUGUGCAGUUUAUUACUUAUAUGUAGUUCUGGCCUACGUCUUCAUCUAUAACUUGUGUGUUAUUUCUUUUGAAAUGAUUUCGGUUAGAUUAGCUUAGAAAUUAAUGUACAGUCGUGUUAUGAAUCACAACUUGUGACUUGUGAGUGCAUGCAUGCAUGUAAAAACCAAAAAAUAUAAAAAUAAGGAAAGGUAUGAAUUCAAGUGAAGAGGUUGGGAAAAAAAUCUUGCCUUCAUAUACAUAUGCUGCAAUUUGGAUCUUUCUUUCCUUCACUGUAAUUGUAUAUAACAAGUAGGUACAUCUUGGAUCGUGAGUUAUAUAAUUGACCUUAUCCAAUUUCACUAAUAAUAAUUCAUAUGAUGACUUUUAUUUACCAUUGGCAUAUCUACUUGUUCGAGUGUUUAAAGUUAUUGAACCUGUAACAAUGAAAUAAUGAAUUUGUAAGCUUGGAAUGAAAAUUUUACCAACUCAUAAACCUAUUUAAAGUUAUUCUUUUUUUAAAAUAAAUGAAUUACUCUUAGUUGUACCAACUGAGCUUCUUUUACCUGCAAACAAAAGGUAUUACUCUUAGCUUUUGUUUCAUUUAAUAAUAACACUAUUUUUAUAUAUUUAUUUUAAAAAUUAAUCAAUUUUGAACUUUUGUAUAUCAUUUUCAAUAAUAUACUUUUAUCUAGAACCAAACUUUUAUGACAUGUUUAAGAUCAUACAUUUCAAAAGUUACUUUAAAAAAAAAAUUCAUGGUUAUUUACUAAGGUGCAAUUUGGAUUAAAGCAUGAUUAUCUAAUGAUCAAGUCAAACUUGAUAAAAAACAUACACUUUUUUUCAUUAUAGUGUGGGAAAGGUUAAAUAAGGGACUAAGUCCCCAUACUGAGACAAAGGAGGCUACCAUUAUCAUACAUCGCAAAAGCCGCAGUUACAUUACUGAUAGUAGCCAUCAAAACUAUACACUAUUAUUAUAUAUACAACGUGGGUGGUGGAAAUUUAUUUGUAAAAAUGAUUAUUUAUACUUAUUGUUUACUAGAAUUUGAUGUGUAUUUAAAUGAGACCCACUUCUUUUUAAAAAUCGCAUGCAAGUGAAGAUUAACGAUGAAGUUGGAAAGCCCUGCUACUGAUCAUUCGUUAUAAUAAAAUUAAUCUAUCGUUUGAAGCCGAUUGAAUUGGGUUGGGCAGAUUUUAAACCUAUUAGGUGCUUAUUUAGACUAGAAAAAUGGAGACGGCUCAUAAAUGCCUCAAAGACGCGAGAAAUAUAUCAAAAUUUGUAGUAAGGCCGGAAAGUACUGCUACCGGUAAAGCUACGUAAUCAUAUAAUAGACAAUUUUAAAUAUAUUUCAAAAAUAAUAGAAAGCAGGAUAUAAGAGUCAUUUCUAGGCUAAUAAAUAUUCCAUAUCCAAAAGAUUAAUUUAAGCCAGACAUAAGUCAUUAAAGCGACCGUGCUAGAACCACGGGACUCAAGGGGUGCCUAACACAUUCCCCUCGAUCAACAGAAUUCCUUAUCCGAAUUUCUAGUUCGCAGACCAAAAAUAAAGAGCCAUUUCCUUUUGAACACUGUAAAUAAAAUAAUCCCUACUCAAAACGUCACUUUAAUUGAAAAAAUCCAUUUUCUCAAAACCAACUCCUUAGCGGGGUCGGGGGUGGUAAAAAAACAAGGGUGUGACAGAUAGCGACUCCGCUGGGAAAAACCAGAAUUUGAGCUUGUAUAUUUACUUGUUUGGCUUUAUAUAUUUUGAAAUAUUGUAUUUGUUGUCCUAAAUGUGCUAUUUGCCUACAUGUUUAACUGCUUUGAUAUUAUUUGAAUUGCAAUAUAAACUGUCUUCUCUCACGCACCCAUCUGAGUCUUUUGAGAUACUUUAUAUUCGGAGAUGCGAUAUACGCUCCCAAGUUUGAGAUACCAGAGAUUCGGAAAUGCUCCUGGGAAGGAUUCUGUAGUCACCCAUGAUUUAGGAUAGGAAUGGACCAACAGUGAGGCCGAAAAGCCCUGCUACCGGUAAAGCUGUCCCUUGCCGACUCGAGUUGUCCGCUCAUUUUACAGCCAGUCUAGAUACCUAACUCCACCAGUUUGAACCUAGCAUAACUGGAACUUAGACAUGACUAUCCCUAAUAGGCUGAGCUUUAUUUGCAUCACGUGCAUUUUUUACUUAAUGGGGCUCGACACGGGGGUCGGGUCCGUCUAGGACAAGUGCUACCUUUUGAGACCAUCAUGUCUAUUUUAUGUGCUACUUGUCGCAUUAUAGGAAAUGUCAUAUCGAAUGUUGACCGACUUUUAAGUGAAUUAAUUGAUCUGAAUAAAAAGGGGUCAAAUAAAAAAUUUUAAGGGCUUAUUUUAGAAAAUAUAUAAUAUUUUUACAUAGAAAUUUUCUGUAAAGAUAAGUCAUUUUAACAUCGGGGUCUCGUUAUGUCCAUUUUCUUUGGUUUUAAAAUCUCUCUUAAGAAUAUCAUAGAGCCCAUUUUUGUUAAACACAGUUAAAAUUUUAUCAAACAAUUCGGUCCACCAUUUUGUUUCAAUAAUUUAAUUAUUUCUAAUGUGUCUGGUCCAAACGUCAUCAAAAUAUUGUCUGCACUCUAAGAUGUUUUAGAAGACUUGGAUACUUCCUGUUUUGUUGUUUGCUAUUUUUCUUAUACUCAUUUUGAAAUCUUAUUCUAUGUCAUUCCGUCAACUUCUUUCGAAAAUUAUUUUUGUCUCAUUUUAGGAUGUUUAAAAUAGAAUUCUUAUUUUCCAUCAUUAUCCUAUAGGGCAAUAAGAAAUCAUUCAAAAGGAGUGAGAAGAGGCCGAGGGAAGAUGAAGUACCCCAUUUCAUGAUGUUAGAUAAAACUCCGGACCUGUUGCGGACAUGGUAUUACAAUAUGACUGAACAUGGACAAGGAUUAGUGUAUAAACACUUGGGAUUUUUAAGGAGUAUUUUGAAUGUUGAACCACGAAAAGAUGUAAUAGAAGCUUUGGUACAGUUUUGGGAUCCGUCGAACAAUGUAUUCCGGUUCUUCGACUUUGAGCUCACUCCCACACUGGAAGAAAUAGGAGAAUUUAUGGGAAAAGGAAAGAAUCUUCACUGAGGAGAGCCUAUGAUACCGAAGCAUGUCACUGGAGAAAGGUUUUUUGAGCUGUUACACAUAAAAGAGGAUAACAUAGGGGGCUUUUUAGACAAUGGAUGGGUUCUUCUAGAGUUCUUGUACGAAAGAUACGGCCAGAAAAAUGGAUUUGAGUUGUUUGGGCUGUAACUUAACAACGACGGGUGCCGCCAGACCUGGAAAAAGCACAGUUACGAUGCAUUCAUAGUGACCUUUUUGUGAAUCAUGGUAUUUCCAAAGAGAGGGGGAAAAUCAGCACAAAUCUGGCUGUAUUCAUUACCGCCUUUAAGAAGAAUCCUAAGGUCACCCUCGUGCACAUGAUCCUGGUGGACAUUUAUCGGGCCCUAACGAUGUGUAAAAAUGGGGCAGAUUAUUUUGAAGGGUGUAACAUUCUGUUGCAGUUAUGGAUGCUCGAGCAUGUUUGUUAUCAUCCAUUUAAUGUAGAUUUUCAAGUUUGAGUGGAAUGAUUAUAUCAAAGGUCAUAAGAAGAGGAUGGAGGACCAAAACUUUUCCGAAGGAAUCGGAGCUUGGAAAGAAUACUUGGAGGGGUUAACUGCUGACAAGAUUGUGUGGAAUUAUCAUUGGUUCCCUUCUAAGAAGGUGAUAUAUAUGUCCAAUUUCCAUACUUUCAUCAUCUUAAUGGGUCUUCGAGGUGUUCAGCCCUACGUGCCACUCAGAGUCAUGCGGUAGUUCGGCCCACGACAGCACCUACCGCCAGUCGAGGAUAUUAAAGAGUUCAAGUACGAAUUUCUCCCUGACAUCUCUCUAAGGAAGUCUGAGAUACUUAAGAUUUAGGGAGGAUGUGUACUUUCAGGUUUCGAGCACAUGGUGGAACACCACGACAAGGGGAGAUAGAAUGUUGGUAUCUACCAUGGUUUCAUGAUCAGCCCCCUCCUAAAGCUAUGCCAAAAAGUCCAGCCAGAGAUCCAGUGGAUCGAGAAGCAGAUAUUAAAGUCAUAAUUAAGCAGGCGCGAUGAGAGGUAGAAGAGAACUAUCAGUCUACUCUGCACAUCUUAAAUGCAGAUCUGGAAAGGGCUAGAGAGAAAUUAGUUCGUCAUGAGGCAUGAUUUGAGGCUAGAAUUAGGUCGGUUCGUAAGGAGGUUGAGAAAGAGCACCGUGUUACCAUACAAACCCUACAAGAAGACCUGGACAUUGCCACCAGUGCUAUGGAGCAGCAAUCGAGUGAUUUCGAGAAAGAGAAGGUUUUGCUGACAAGUACACAGUCGAAGCUUUGGGCUCAGCUAAAAGCUUCUAUGGAACGGGAAAGACAAAUAGUGAGGUGCUUCAUGACUUUUCAGAAGGAAUUUGAAGUUGAGAGAAACUAAUGGAUGACCUAACGAUAGGCGCUUCACUAUCAGAUGGAUGACCUUCAUGAACAAGAAGGAGACCUAAAGCAUACCGUCCGUACUACGCAGCAUUGGGUGCAAAACUGCCAUGAGAGUAUGAUUGAAGCUAGGGGAGAGGUACUUCAGCUCAGUGAAACCUUUAUUGAUGUUUAUGCUAAGUAUCUUCACCGAAAUGAUGAAAAUUUGGGUCAUCAGGCAUGUGCUCUCGCUCCACAUCUGCCAAAAGCAUUGUCCAGAUCAACUCAAGUUUGAAGGAAGAUUGGGUCUCAAGACAUCUUUAGGAGGCAUCUGAUGAUAGUUCAUUCAUUCCUUUAGGUUUAGUUUACUAAGUCCGUUAGGUUUGUUUUUUUUCUAAAAUUUAGUUUCUCUAUAAGUAUUUGUUUUUUAGUAUUUCGUCAGUAUUUCGAGUCUAUUCUAGUUUUAGAUAAUUCUAGAACAUUUGGAAAUGUAUGGAAAAUGUUUGAUCAAAUAUUUUCCAAACUUUCGAGUAAUAAUUUUAAAAUAUUGGCGUUAAAUAAUGAGUGUAAAAAUUAAUUCACCAAAAGCCAGGAUGAAACAAGAAGGCUUUCCUAAUUCCAUUUCAGGAAUGAAAAUUACUUAGAUGCAAGACAUGUAAGCUAUUAUGAAUAUAUCAAUAUUUUUAAAGCUCUAAAUCCUAAAAUAUUUGUUUCUGUUUCAUGCACAAGUCAGUAAGGUGGUUGGUUGUGGUUAAGCUGGCCUAUCACUCGUACAACACAAGGUAUAAAGGAAAAAGGAAGAUGACUCGAAAAGAUGGUAUGGAAUCUGAUAACGAAGAAGGUCAGAUCAAUUAACUCCAUGAGAGUUUGUAUCUUUAGAGGAGAAUAGGUUAUUGAAGCAACAAAUUGUGGAAAUGUAUCAGGCCUGGGCGAAUGGACAAGCCCUGCCUUCCUCCAUUUUCGGUCUUUCGGAUGCAAAUCAUCCCAGUUCUACUCAAGCCCAAGCCGACGAUCCACUUUAUCCGCCUGGAUUUGGACCUUACGCUAAUGUGUCUAGCACUGCUAGCAUAUCCACCAUGCGUCCUCCAAAUCCAUCGUUCAUGAACAACCCACUUUUUAUUCCGGUCGUGCCAACUAAUAAAAUUCCUCCAUCAAUGAUACAAAAGCCUACCGAUGAGCUGAAUCAUGAUCAAGUCCAUCCUCCUGAAUUGGUGCUCAAACCUAUAAAUUCAUAUCAGCCCACUUAUCAUCUUGAGUCUCAUAUCGUGAUUGAGAAGGCUAUUAUGAAUGAAGAACGAGAAGAGAUAGCCAGAAAAGUGAGGAGUCUGGAGCAGAGUAUGAGAAACAUACAAGGAUUGGAAGGACACAAAAGUGUCUCUUUCAAGGACCUGUGUAUGUUACCUAAUAUUCAUUUGCCAAUAGGGUUCAAGACACCAAAAUUCGACAAAUAUAGUGGUCAUGGUGACCCGGUCGCCCACUUAAAAAGGUAUUGCAAUCAACUCAGAGGAGCAGGAGAGAAAGAGGAGCUGUUUAUGGCCUAUUUCGAAGAAAGUCUGACAGGAAUAGCCUCCGAAUGGUUUAUCGAUCAAGAAAUCUCCCAUUGGCACAUUUGGGACGAUAUGGCUCAAGAUUUUGUACAACAAUUUCAAUAAAAUAUCAACAUUAUCCUUGACCGUACUUCUCUCACUAAUAUGAAGAGAAAACCAUCUGAAAAUUUUCGAGAGUAUGCCAUAAAAUAGAGAGAACAGGCGUCUAGAGUCAAACCGCCAAUGAAGCACCAGGAAUUGAUUGACGUUUUUCUCCAAACUCAAGAGCCGAUUACUUCCAUCAUUUACUAUCCGCGGUUGGUAAGCCUUUCGCCAAAGCCAUAAAAAUUGGGGAAAUGGUGGAGAAUGGCAUCAAAUUAGGAAAAAUCGUGAGCCAAACCGCCCUCAAGGACACUACACAAGCCAUUCAGAGUGGAUCAGGUGGUUUUGAAAAUCAGAAAAAGAAGGAGGAAGGAUCCAUGAGGGCAUCAGGACCGGGCAAUGCCCAAAGGGGACGGAAGUACCCUUAUGUUCAGGUCCAACAGGGGCAACCCAACCCUCCUCAACAUUAUUAGACACCUCAACCUGUUGUUCUUAAUGCUCAAGCGUAUGCCCGACCUCCUCAGCGUCCAUAAUGGCAGGCACCUACACUACAAGGUUUUCAUCCGUGCAGCCAAAUUUUUAAGCCACUCGUAAUCCGUAUGUUCAGGCAGAUGAUACAAGAGAACAGAGGCCAAGGGAAAACUUCACCCCAAUUAGAGAAUUAUACACGAACCUAUUGCGGAGGUUGAUAAAAUUAGGAUGGAUUGAACCUAUUUUUCCCUUCAAAGUGGAUCCAAAUACAAGUUGGUUUGAUCCUAAUGUAAGGUGUGAGUACCAUUCAAACGUCCAAGGUCACAGUACCGAAAAUUGUUGGAAUCUAAAGAGAGCCAUUGAAAAGUUAAUUAAAAGAAAGGCAAUAAUAAUACAAAAAGAGAAAGCACCGAAUGUCACUGACAAUCCACUUCCCAAUCGCAGUAACACAUACAUCGUGGGGAAGAUUUUUGACGAUAAAGACUACAGGCCAACAAGCCAAGCAGUGAUGAAAAUAGGCACCCCAAAGGAAAACCCGGGUGAAGCAGUGAAGUCUAUGCAAAGAGAACCACUAAUCGUGAAAAGAGCAAGUUCCAUUAUAAGACCCCGAGAUUCAAAAAAGAUGGUAUUGUAUGUUCCUGCAAAGCCAAAGAGAAUAGCACAAGAUGGGCCAAAACUAUAUGUUUCGAGUGGUCUCGCAUGGUUGUACCAACAGCUCAACAACAUGAGAAAAAUAACAGAGCCAGUUAUCAUAAGACAUGCAACACAACUCCCAGUAAUAAGUUUGAAAACCAUCCCAUGGAACUACAACAAAACCACUGUGACUUACAAAGGAAAAGAGAUCCUGGAAGAGACAAACGAAGCAGGAGGCUUCACUUGAUCAUAAAGAUGUUAUGCUCCAGAAGAAUUAAGGAGACCAAAACAGUAUAAAGAUAGUCAAGGGCCAGUGAAAAAACUUAUCACAACGAAGAGGCUGAGGAAUUCCUUAAGAAAAUGAAAGUUCAAGACUAUUCCAUUGUUGAUCAACUGAGGAAAACCCCAGCUCAAAUCUCAUUGUUGUCCCUGAUGCUACAUUCUAAAGAACAUUAUCAGACAUUGAUUAGGUUUUUGAAUGAAGAAUAUGUCCCGAAGGAAACUACGGUCUGUCAAAUGGAAAGGAUGGUUCACAGAAUAUUUGAAGUAAAUAGAAUCACUUUCACUGAUGAUGAGUUACCUACAGAAGGGUCUGGUCAUAACAAAGCUUUACAUCUAACAAUCAAAUGUGAAGGACAAUACAUAAAAGGGGUAAUAAUCGAUGGAGGUUCAGGAGUAGAUAUCUAUCCCCUCUCUACUUUGCAAAAAUUAAAAAUUGGCACAGAUAGGAUCUGAUCCAAUAAUGUAUGUGUUCGGGCUUUCGAUGAUGCAAAAUGAGACACACUUGGUAAGAUUGAUCUUGCUUUGAUUAUUGGACCGAUCGAAUUCGUGAUCACCUUUUAAGUAAUAGACAUGGAUACUUCCUACAACCUACUUUUAGGAAGGCCAUGGAUCCAUACAGCCAUAGUCAUACCUUCUACUUUGUACCAAGUGGUUAAGUUUGAACACGACAAUCAGGAAAUUAUUCUUCACAGAGAUGAUGACCUUCCCAUACAUUGAGAUCCUUCUGUACCUCGUAUCAAAGAAAAAGGGGUUAUGAAUCUUCAAUUUAUCAGGCUUUUGACAUUUUGACAGCUGAUCAAAUUAUGGAAGGCACGCUGAUUCUGGGGCCUCAUCUCUCUUCUACUUUAAUCAUGAUGGCUAGACAAAUAUUACAAAAUGGUUAUGAAUCGGGGAAAUGAUUAGGGGUUUCGUUGCAAGGAAUUAUAAGCCCUAUAGAUCCAUGUGGUAUCCAUAAAACCUUUGACUUAGGCUUUAAGCCUACCACAACAGAUAGAAAAUGGGCGAAAGAGCAGAAGAAGAAAGCUUGGAAAUUGACCAAUAUGGUUUCACACAUCAGCCAAUCUUUCAUGAAAGCUCAAAAUGAAGAGAAUCAAGACUCACCUGCUACUAAGGAUGUGGAUGAAAUAUGUCAAGGUCUCGAGAAAUUGUUCUACAAAUUAAACAUGGUUCAUAUGGGUGAAUGCCCUAGCCAUGCAGAGGUGCAGUUCAUCAGAUCAAAUGUCAAGCUCACUAACUGGGAAGCCACUCCUCUCCCCACAAAGAAGGAGUCUUGGUAGUUUAUUUGUUAUUUCGCUUUUAUUUUUUUUGUAUUUUGGAUUAUUCUCAGGAUUGUAAUGCACUUAGAUUAGUUGCUUUACUUUGAUGAUAACCCUUCUAUCCUUUUCAAUUCAAUGAAAUAAAAUUCAAAUUUUCUAGUAAAAUUUACCUUUUCUUCUCUUUUUAAUUUUCAUUUUUAUAUUAUUUCAGUUAUGUUAAUACUAGCUUUAAUAACAUAGCAUGCAUGUGGAGUUCACACCUAGAUCCUAAAAAGUUGUCUAAUCUCGAAUCAAUAAAUCAAAUAGUAGAUGAAUACGAUGAAGAUGAAACUGAUAAGGAAGUCAAAAAAAGAUUGGAUCAAUUCGAGGAUAAGCCCAAACCCAAUUUAGAUGAUACUGUGAUAAUAAAUUUAGGAUUUGCUAAGGAAUUUAGAGAAAUAAAGAUAAGUAUGCAUGUGGAUCAAAAUAUCAGGAACGCUAUUAUUCAAAUUUUGUUCGAGUAUAAAGAUGUUUUUGCCUGGUCUUAUGACGAUAUACCGGGUUUAAGAACUGAUUUGGUAGUCCACAAGCUCCCUACAUACCCUGAUAUUCAGCCGAUCCAGCAAAAGCAAAGAAAUUUUAAAAUUAACAUGAACGAUAAAAUCAAAGAGGAAAUUAUGAAGCAAUUGAAUACAAACGUGAUCAGGGUCGCUCAGUACACCACAUAGUUGGCUAAUGUGGAGCCCGUACCUAAGAAAGAUGGUAAAAUCAGAGUUUGUGUUGAUUAUAGGGAUUUGAACAAAGCAAGCCCUAAAGAUAGCUUUCUGUUACCCAAUAUUCAUAUCCUUGUUGAUAAUUGUGCUAAACAUGAGAUUCAAUCUUUUGUGGAUUGUUAUGCCGGGUAUCACCAGAUCUUGAUGGAUGAAAUAGAUGCAGAAAAGACUGCUUUCACCACCCCAUGGGGUACUUAUUGCUAUAGGGUUAUGUCAUUCGGUUUAAAGAAUGCGGGAGAUACAUACAUGAGAGCUAUGACUACUAUUUUUCAUGACACGAUGCAUAAAGAAGUAGAAGUAUACAUUAAUGAUGUCAUUAUUAAGUCCAAAAUGCAAGUUGAUCAUGCAUAUAACUUGAAGAAAUUCUUUCAAAGGUUGCGAAAGUAUAAUCUUAAGCUUAAUCCAGCCAAGUGUGCAUUUGGAGUUCCAUCUGGGUAACUCUUGGGUUUCAUAGUCAGUUGUAGAGGCAUUGAAUUAGACCCCUCCAAGGUAAAAGCUAUUUGAGAAUUUCCGCCUCUAAAGAAUAAAACUGAGGUCAAGAGUUUUCUAGGGAGGUUGAAUUAUAUAAGUAGGUUCAUUGCUCAGCUCAGAACUACAUGUGAACCGAUAUUAAAGUUGCUGAGAAAAUAUGUUUCUAUUAAAUGGGCAGACGAAUGUCAAGAAUCAUUUGACAAGAUUAAAUAAUAUUUGGCGAAUCCUCCAGUAUUGGUCCCACCGGAACCUGGUAGGCCUUUAUUUAUAUAUCUGUCAGUGAUGGACAACUCUUUUGGUUGUGUUUUAGGACAAUAUGACAUCACAGGUAAAAAGGAACAGGCAAUUUAUUAUUUGAUCAAGAAGUUCACAAGUUAUAAGGUAAAAUAUACUCUUUUAGAAAAGACAUGUUGCGACCUAACUUGGAUUGCUCAGAAAUUGAAGCAUUAUCUAUCGUCCUAAACAACCUACCUCAUAUAUCGAAUGGAUUCUUUGAAGUAUAUUUGUUAGAAACCUAUGCCCACAGGCAGAUUGGCAAAGUGGCAGAUUUUACUUACAGAGUUAGACAUUGUGUAUGUCACUCGUACAGCUAUGAAAGCACAAGCAUUGGCCGAUUAUUUGGUAGAGAACCUAGUUGACAAUGAUUAUAAGCCUUUACGAAUCUACUUUCCUAAUAAAGAGAUUAAUUCAACUGAGGAUGAUGUUUAAGAGGAUGUUUAUGUUUGGAAAUUAUAUUUUAAUAGAGCGGUCAAUGUCAAAGAAAUAAGGAUUGGGGCGGUUCUUGUCUCACCAACUGGGCAUCAUUAUCCCGCCGCAGCAUGACUGUAUUUUCUUUGUACUAAUAAUACAGCAGAAUACGAAGCUUGCAUCAUGGGUUUAAAUAUGGCAAUAAAUCUGAAUAUACGUUUGCUAGUGGUGUUGGGAGAUUCCGAUUUGCUCAUUCGACAAAUUCAAGGUGAAUGGAAAACUAGAGAUAUCAAGCUCAUUCCAUACAAACAGGAUUUAGAGGACCUUAGCAAAAAGUUCAAGUCUAUCAAGUUUAGAUAUAUUCCUAGAUUCCACAAUGAGUUGGCUGAUGCUCUGGAUACCUUAGAUUCCAUACUCCCAUUCCCAGGAAAUACGUAUAUCGAACCAUUGGAGAUACAGAUAAAAGAUCAACACGGUUAUUGCAACAUAAUUAAUGCAGAGCCAGAUAAUGAGCAUUGGUACUAUGAUAUCAAAUGCUUCUUAAAGUCAAAAGAGUAUCCAAUACACGCUAAUGCCGAUCAAAAAAGGACUAUUAGGCAGCUUGCUAAUGGUUUCUUCUUAAGUGGGGAGAUUCUAUACAAAUGAACUCCAGAUUUGAACUUAUUGAGAUGUGUUAAUAUUCGGGAAGCUGAAAGAAUCAUGAAUGAGGUACAUUUGGGAGUAUGUGGUUCGUAUAUGAAUGGCUAUGUUUUAGCGAAGAAGAUUAUGCGGGUAGGAUACUAUUGGUUGACUAUAGAGCGAGACUGCUUUCAUUUUGUUUGCAAGUGUCAUCAGUACCAAAUUCAUGGCGAUUUGAUUCAUUCACCACCUUCAGAGUUCCAUCCCAUGUCCGCUCCUUGUCCCUUUGUUACUUGGGGCAUGGACGUAAUCGGUCCAGUAGAACCAAAACCUUCUAAUGGGCAUCGAUUCAUACUGGUCGCUAUUGACUAAUUCACCAAAUAGGUAGAAGCUACUACUUUCAAAUCAGUCAUGAAGAAAGCAGUAGUGGAUUUUGUUUAGUCCAACAUCAUAUGUCGUUUUGGUAUACCAAAGUCCAUUAUCAUAGAAAAUGCAACCAAUCUCAAUAGUCAUCUAAUGAAGGAGGUUUGCGAGCAAUUCAAGAUUGUGCAUCAUCAUUCUACCCCUUACCGUCCCAAAGCAAAUAAAGCCGUUGAAGCAGCGAACAAGAAUAUUAAAAAGAUUCUUAGUGAAAUGGUCCAAGGAUCUCGACAGUGGCAUGAACAAUUACCAUUCGCUCUUUUAGGAUAUCGUACAACUAUCUGAACAUCGACUGGGGCAACUCCUUAUUUACUAGUCUAUGGGACUGAAGCUAUGAUACCGUAAAAAAAAAGAAAAAACGUAUAGUCAAAAACCCUCAUGGGCUCCAUAAGACAAUGAUGAACGAGGAAAACAAAAUUAGAGAGGUCAACUGUGAAAAUCCUAAAAGGAUAACUUUAGUCAAACAAAGUUUAUCAUGACAGGACAAAGAUCAAGAAGGAUGAUUUGAUUUGAUUGAAAGGUGCAGCCUAAUUUGAUAUUAGAUAGUUUUGAAGGGUCAAAUGUCUACUUCAAAUUGCGUGUCAUGCUUCAUUGAAGUUAAUAUACACCUCCAAAUAAGCUUCCUUCCUUUUCUGUUAGAAAUACCAACUAUUGAAAUAUAAUUUUCUUAUUUUUUUCUUUCUCUUUUCUCAUAUAUUUGUCUUUUCCUUGUUUCGUUGUAUACACUUUGGCUCUUUUUAUGCGUAAGUUUGACAUCAAAUGCAUUAUAAAGAAAGACGCACGAAAUUGACUAUGGUUCCCAAUGAAAUUGAGCUGAGAUUGUUGGGCGUACACCACCUUGACAAGGACAGGGAGCCGAUUGAGAUAAGUUUACAAGUACAAUGUUGAAAAUGAAGAAUAGAAUCAUACCGAAACAAACAAAGAUGCAAUAGAAGUUGAAAGGAGAAGGUCCAAGCUCGCCGACCAAUUAGUUGAAUCAACCGUAUCAAGUUUAGGUAGAGAUAAGGAAAACCUCCAAAGGAUUCAAGGCCACAAACCAACCACCAAUUUUUUAUUUUUAAAGAAAAAAAAAACUUACAAAAUUUUCUUUGUUUGAACAGGGGAAAAGCAGUCUUGUAAAGUUUGUUGGGAAAAACGAGUACAACCAUAGUGAAAGUUUCUUUAGAUUUUAUCCUUUCGUUAUACUCUUAUAAUUCUAAGGUUGCAUCAAUAUUAUAUAAUACUAAUAAAACCCCUCACAUUCAAAACUGGGGCAUAUACAUAUAUAUAUAUAUAUAUACAUAUAUAUUCAAAAUAAUAAUAAUAAUAAUAAUAACAAGAAAAAAAAAUCCCCUAGUUGACAUGUCCUUUCGUCUUCAUAGGGUGUCAUCCCCUAGUUGACAUCUUAUUGGACUUCAUAGGGCUCCAUCCCCUAGUUGACAUCUUAUUCGUCUUCAUAGGACAUCAUCCCCUAGUUGACAUCUUAUCUAGUCUUCAUAGGGCAUCAUCACCUAGUUGACAUCUUAUCUCGUCUUCAUAGGGCGUCAUCCCCUAGUUGACAUCUUAUUCGUCUUCAUAGGACAUCAUCCCCUAGUUGACAUCUUAUCUAGUCUUCAUAGGGCAUCAUCACCUAGUUGACAUCUUAUCUCGUCUUCAUAGGGCGUCAUCCCCUAGUUGACAUCUUAUUCGUCUUCAUAGGACAUCAUCCCCUAGUUGACAUCUUAUCUAGUCUUCAUAGGGCAUCAUCACCUAGUUGACAUCUUAUCUCGUCUUCAUAGGGCGUCAUCCCCUAGUUGACAUCUUAUUCGUCUUCAUAGGGCGUCAUCCCCUAUUUGACAUCUUAUUCUUCUUCAUAGGGCGUCAUCCCCUGGUUGACAUCUCAUUUGUCUUCAUAGAGCGGCAUCCCUUAGUGGACAUCGUAUUUCAUCUUCAUAGGGCAUCAUCCCCUAGUUGACAUCUUAUUCGUCUUCAUAGGGCGUCAUCCCCUAGUUGACAUCUCAUUUCAUCUUCAUAGGGCGUCAUUUCCUAUUUGACAUCUUAUUCAUCUUUAUAGGGAGCCAUCCCCUAGUUGACAUCUUAGGAAACACCAUUUCCUAAUUUUUCUUAUUCGUCUUCAUAGGGCGCCAUCCCCUAGUUGACAUUUUAUUUUGUCUUUAUAGGGCGCCAUCCCCUAGUUGACAUUUUAGGAAAUAAAACUUCCUAUUUUUCUUCUUUAUGUCUUCAUAGGGUAUGACAAUCCCUAGUUGCAUUUUAAGAAGCAAAUAUGCUAACUCUUUUUCAUGCAUUCAUAAGGCAUAACUUCCUUUGGUUGCAUUAUUGAGAAUAGAGUUCUUAUUUUAUUGCGUACCUAGCCUAGAUUUCUAUCAUUUUCAUUUAUUUAUUUAUAAUUUUUCUAAUAAAUCACAAAAUUUUCCUAGUGCAAAACUGGGGCAGAAAUUUUAUUCGUACUGUUUUGUUUUCUUUGAUGGCUUACGGGUUUUUCUACAAAGCAUGAAUUUGAUGUUGAGAAUGGAAUUUCAUCUCCGGUUAGAAUAUAGAAGAAUGAUCAGUUUGAAGAUAGUUAGAGUCAGCUUUGUAUCCGUAGUGGUCAAACAUCUCAAGAGACAUCUUUUUAGCUUCUAAUUAGGAGAACAAGCAUUCAAAAGUACUCUAUGAACCGUACUUUGAUAGAGUGUCAAUGACUCAAUCCAAGUUUCAAGGUCAAGUCUCAAAUCCUAACUUCAAGAUCAAAUUUUGAGAUCAAGGUACCCACCAAAGAAGGUGAGGCGAUAACUGAAUCCAAGACGAAGAUCUUAAGCAAGAGAAUCAAGACAAUUAGAAUAGCUAGGAUCUUGUAUCUUUCAUUUCUAGUUUCAUUUUUUUGAUGUAAUAAAAGGAGUCACGGACCUGAAACUCGACGGGACCUCAACUCGACUCUUAAACUCAUCCAUUCAUUAUUACACCCAUUUGGACUACAUGUGACCUGAUUCUCUUAUAACUUGAGAUAUGUAGGCUGCUCAAAGCAAGGGCUCAGUCACACCUCUUUCCCAAUAUUUAUUUUUUCUAUUUUUGAAUAAAUGGUUGGGCAAAAAAUUAGUCAUGUUUACUUCUUUACGUGAAAACUCUCCAUAUUUCCAAACAAAGAGGGGCAUUCUGUAAACACCUAAUUUUUGAAAAAACCUAAGUAUUUUUUUCGCCAUUUUAGUGUUCAACUUUUUUUUUAGGGUCGAAAUUAGAUAUUUUAAAUUAUCUUAUUUUUACUAAAUUUGUUUUAAAAUUUUUGAAAAACUACAAAAAUAGAGUCACAUUUUUAAAUAAGUUUUUAUUUUUGUUGUUUAUUCAUUUAUUUAUUUAUUUUAGGAAAAGAAAAUUUUCUAAACUAUAUUUGUUUUCUUCUUUUAACUUUUAAUAAAAAAUCUAGUGAUAUUAAUAUUUCUUAAUCAUAUUUCUAAGACUAGCUAUUUAACUUAUUUUGCAUUUUGUUAGUUUUAAAUAGAUUUUAUUAUAUUUAUUUUAUUUAAAAUAUUAAUUAACAAAAAAAAGAAAAAAAACUUAUCCUAAACUACCCAAUCUUCCCACUCCCCUCAAUGUCUCUCAUGCCCUCCACUUUCCCAUAUGCAUGUUAUGCAUAACCCCCACAUUCCAUUUUUUCUGGAACACCACACACGACACACCAUUACAUAUUAACACACACAACACAACAUAAAGGAAGGGACUUGAAAAAAAAAAAAGCAAAAACAAAAACUUUGAAAACAAAAGAAAGAGAGAAACCAGAAAGAGAAAAAAGAGUAGUAGGAACAAAAGUUAGAGAAAACUCAGAAAAAGAAGAGGAAAAAUCAUUAGAAAAGCAACUCAGAAAAAGAAGAGGAAAAAUCAUUAGAAAAGCACGGAAAGGAAGUGGCGAGUUUGAGUUUGGAUCCCCUCCGAGUUUUCGACGAUGCAGUUUACUUGUUUACUUGGUUUAAUUCGUCAUACAGGUUCUUAUUUAAUCCCUGUACAAUUAUUGUUAUGGUCGAUUGAAGCAUGAAUAAAGCUAUGCUCAUGGCUUUUACAUUAUUUACUAUGUGCAGUUUAUUACUUAUAUGUAGUUCUGGCCUACGUCUUCAUCUAUAACUUGUGUGUUAUUUCUUUUGAAAUGAUUUCGGUUAGAUUAGCUUAGAAAUUAAUGUACAGUCGUGUUAUGAAUCACAACUUGUGACUUGUGAGUGCAUGCAUGCAUGUAAAAAUCAAAAAAUAGAAAAAUAAGGAAAGGUAUGAAUUCAAGUGAAGAGGUUGGGAAGAAAAUUUUACUUUCAUAUACGUAUGCUGCAAUUUGAAUCUUUUUUCCUUCACAGUAAUUGUAUAUAACAAGUAGGUACAUCUUGGAUCGUGACUUAUAUAAUUGGCCUUAUCUAAUUUCACUAAUAAUAAUUCAUAUGAUGACUUUUAUUUACCAUUGGCAUAUCUACUUGUUCGUGUGUUAAAAGUUAUUGAACCUAUAACAAUGAAAUAAUGAAUUUGUAAGCUUGGAAUGAAAAUUUUACCAACUCAUGAACUUGUUUAACGUUAAUUUUUUUUAAAUAAAUGAAUUACUCUUAGUUGUACCAACUGAGCUUCUUUUACCUGCUAACAAAAGGUAUUACUCUUAGUUUUUGUUUCAUUUAAUAGUAACACUAUUUUUAUAUAUUUAUUUUAAAAAUUAAUUAAUUUUGAACUUUUGUAUAUCAUUUUCAAUAAUAUACUUUUAUCUAGAACCAAACUUUUAUGACAUGUUUAAGAUCAUACAUUUCAAAAGUUACUUUAAAAAAAAAUCAUGGUUAUUUACUAAGGUGGAAUUUGGAUUAAAGCAUGCUGAUCUAAUGAUCAAGUCAAACUUGAUAAACAACAUACACUUUGUUUCAUUAUAGUGCGGGAAAGGUUAAAUAAGGGACGAAGUGCCCAUGCUGAGACAAAGAAGGAUACCAUUAUCAUACAUCGCAGAAACCUCAGUUACAUUACUCAUAGUAGCCAUCAAAACUAUAUACUAUUAUUAUAUAUUUAACGUGGGUGGUGGAACUUUGUUUGUAAAAAUGAUUAUUUAUACUUAUUGUUUACCAGAAUUUGAUGUGUAUUUAAAUGAGACCCACUUCUUUUUAAAAGUCGCAUGCUACUGAUCAUUCGUUAUAAUAAAAUUAAUCUAUCGUUUGAAGCCGAUUAAAUUGGGUUGGGUAGAUUUUAAACCUAUUAGGUGCUUAUUUAAACUAGGAAAAUGAGGACGGCUCAUAAAUGCCUCAAAGGCGCGAGAAAUAUAUCAAAAUUCGGAGUAAGGCUGAAAAAUACUGCUACCGAUAAAGCUACAUAAUCAUAUAAUAGACAGUUUUAAAUAUAUUCAAAAAUAAUAGAAAGCAGGAUAUAAGAGUCAUUUCUAGGCUAAUAAAUAUUACACAUACAAAAGAUUAAUUUAAACCAGACAUAAGUCAUUAAAGCGAUCGUGCUAGAACCACGGGACUUGAGGAGUGCCUAACACCUUCUCCUCGGUCAACAGAAUUCCUUAUUCGGAUUUCUAGUUCGCAGACCAAAAAUAAAGAGUCAUUUCCUUUUGAAUAGUGAUUCAAUAAGGUGACUUGAAACACCCAAACUCAAUCCCAAGUAACGACUCUGUAAAUAAAAUAAUCCAUAUUCAAAACGUCACGUUAAUUAGAAAAAACCAUUUUCUCAAAAUUAACUCCUUAGUGGGGCGGGGGCGGGGGCGGUAAAAAAAUAAGGGUGUGACAGUAUGUGGUACUUUUCACCCCAUGUAUUAUGUCUCAAUUCCUAUAUUCAUCUUUUGUUGUCUGUCUAAUCUUAACUUCCAAAUUCCAAUUAUUAUUAUUUUUUCAAUUAAAACAAGUAUCUCUCAAAUUAUACAUUCACCUGAACCAAACAUGUAAAGGUUCAUCUCCCCAUUAUGCACACUUCAUAUGUUAAAACGAAUUUUCAAAAAUAACACAUUCAUGUAUAUAAUCUCUCACUCUCUCUCACACGCGCGCUUAAAAGUGUAAAGACCCUUUGAAAAACGGUUUAAACUUUUUGUCCUUCAUUAAAAAAACUUUUCUUUAGAUAAAAAUGUCUUUUCACUAUUUUAUGUAAUUUAUUAUUUAAUUAUUUUUAUGAUGUUAACUAGAUUCCUAAAUAUAUCGCACUCCUAAAAUAUGUGGAAAAAGAGUCAAUUAAUAUUUUUCUUUGUAAUGAUCAAUUACAAAAAUACUCUUAAAAUAGGAUAGAAAAAUACUUAGGACUCUAUUAGAGAAAUACUUCUAUAAAUAUUGAGAUGCAAGCUAAACUAGAGAAAGAAACUGGUUUACUUAUUGUAAAAAUAUAAUUGAUGUUCAUCUAACUUUAUUCGGUUGCAUCUAGAUUGAUGAAUGCUUAAUUUUUUAACCCUCAACUUCUUCACUAUUUUUCUGAACAUAAUAGAAUUCAAAGUGUGUAUAUUUAUAUAUGUUUUCAUUCAAGUCAUUCUUCAGUGUCAAAUUUUUUGCUCAGACAAGAAUUAUUUUUAUCAAAACUAAAGCUUUGUGAUCACUAUUAUUGUAUUAUUUUAUUGUGGUUUACACGUCAUAGAUGAAUUUACAGGUGGUAGAUGAAUGUCGGUUGAUUUUGAGAAAUUUUUUUAGGUAAAAGUUAGGUUUAAUUGUAUUGUUUUUAUAUCAUUGUUUUGAGAUUUUUUUUUUUGUGUGUGUAAAGUUAAAGUUUAAUUGUUUUAUAUAUAUAUAUAUAUAUAGUUUUCUUUUAGAGAUGUAUAUGAAACACCUACUCUAAGUGAAGAGUGAAGAAAAUCUUUUUGAAUUUUUUUUAAAUACGAUCCCCGAACCAACAAUAGGCUGAUUAUGUAUCUCACAUCCCGAAAGAGGAGAAUCAGGGGUGUGUAGUUCGUCCAGAUUGAACAAUUAAGGAUUAAAUGACAAACUAAACCCUGAAUUGAGAGACACGACUAAAGACAGACGAAUAAAAUCUUUUGUGAAUUUUUAAUUAGAAACUAACACCAACAACUAUGAAAGAAAAAAUCUUUUUGAUAUUUUCAUUAUAUACAAAUGUACAAAGCUCCUAUUGAAAGGAAAAAAUAUUUUUAGAGUUUUUCAAUUGUAAAUACUUACUAAAGAAAUAAAAGGAAAAUCUUUUUAACGUUUUUGAUUUUUUGAAAAAUGAGUGCAAAAAGUAAAAAAUAAUAUUAUUUUUUUUGAAUUGUGAAAAACAAAAGUCAUAAAGAAUCCUAAAAACUACCAAAUCUCUUUUCUUCACUCUUUUUUUUUCUUUCCCCUUUUUUUCAACAAUUUCUUGCCUACACACUUUACUUGUAACUCAUGCUUUUGCCCAAAUCAGUCUGUCAAAUGACUUUGUUACCCUAAAAAAUGCAAUAUUUAGCACGUAAGGAUGCUUUAGAGGUGAGUCUCCUACAAAGGGCCACGUGGGUCCCGCUAUAUCUCAAUAUAAUGUAAAUAUACAUGACCUAAAGACUGACUUGUGCUGGGGUUCACUAACAAGGUUGCUCGGGGGAGCGUAUGGUUGAUAGUGGUUGCGCUAGCUUUCCAUCCACUCCAUACCAGCCGACGGCUCCUCCUCUUAGAAAAUAUGGGUGACUCAACUAUAGGUCGUGUACACAGCAUAUACUACAAAACUUAUUGCAGAAAGAAUUGACUUGGAUUAUGCAAAUGAUGCUAGAUAUAAAGCGGUAACACAUAAAAGAAAAACUGUAAUCACGUAGCACGUAGGCACUCAACAACGAUAAACAAAUACAAACAAUAACACAAACAAUGUCUAUACACUCAUAAUGUCAAAACUAAGUCGAUAUAAUUCAAAAAAUAAGCUCGAAUUCUGAAAAGGAUCCCCAGCAGAGUCGCCAGAGCUGUCACACCCCUUUUUUUUCACUCCCAAAAUGAAUUAAUUUUUAAGUUUCGAAAGGGUUUUAUUAUUAAAGUGACAAAAGAUGAAAAUUGUUUCAAAAAAGGAUUCAUUCAUUUCAAAACUCAGAGUCGUCACUUGGCAUAAAUCAGGUGCGCCAAGUCACCCGUGGAUAUCCUUUUUCAAAACGAUUUUGACUCUAUAAAACUAAUCCGCGAACAGAGAUUCUGGUUAAGAAAUUUGUUGACCAAGGGGAAGGUGUUAGGCACCCUUACACCCCGUGGUUCGACCACGGUCGCUUGGUGGAGUAUAUCGGCUAAUUUGGAUACUAUGAAUGUAUAAACCACACCAAACAUAAAUAAAACGAUCAAUCAAGCAAACGAAUCCAAAAACAAUGUCCAGUUCAAUUAUACAAUCCAAAAUAGAAAAAGAAUGCGAAAAUGUAAAUCCUAUUCUACCCUACACUAAUUUUAUACUAUGCUCCCAUGCUACCCGAUGCCUCGGGUCUUCAUCACGGACGUCCUCCAAAUACAAAAUACUUUGGGGCAUUCCCGGCGAAUAAAUACAAGUGAUCGCGGGGCAUUCCCCGAUUAAAUGAAUACAUUUCCAAAUGCAAGAACUAAAACUAAAUCGUUCAACUCAAAUUUUACAUUCAAACAUUCAACAAGAAAACUUAUUCCUAAAUUUUUGCCUACCCGAACCAAUAUUCGCGUCUCCAUUUCAACAUAUCAUAAUUUUAUCACAUUCCAACAAUAUUCAUGCUCAUUACGAAUUAAACAAAACAACAAUAAACCAAAGCUAAUCUAAAUUCAACUUUUUUAUCAAUUUCUCAAUUUCAUCCCCCAAAUCCUUUUUUUAACCACAUUAUUAAACCAGUUCGACUAUCAAAUCACUUUUUAAAAUCCGAAACCAACAACACAUACCCCAACGAAGAUUCAAACAUUUAAGCAUACCAAUCAUUCAUAUCCACAACAACAAUUAACAUUUUUGCUCGAAAUAUUCAAAACCGCACCACAAAAUUACGAUAUUAACCAACUUCGAUAUAAUUAAAAGUAGAGUUGAGAGAUGGACCUUUGAAGAAUCGAUUUCGUUGAUAAUAAAAUGAAGAAAGUCCGGACUAUAGAAUUCCUAAUAGGACCUCAACAAUGACGAACUCCAACUCNNNNNNNNNNNNNNNNNNNNNNNNNNNNNNNNNNNNNNNNNNNNNNNNNNNNNNNNNNNNNNNNNNNNNNNNNNNNNNNNNNNNNNNNNNNNNNNNNNNNNNNNNNNNNNNNNNNNNNNNNNNNNNNNNNNNNNNNNNNNNNNNNNNNNNNNNNNNNNNNNNNNNNNNNNNNNNNNNNNNNNNNNNNNNNNNNNNNNNNNNNNNNNNNNNNNNNNNNNNNNNNNNNNNNNNNNNNNNNNNNNNNNNNNNNNNNNNNNNNNNNNNNNNNNNNNNNNNNNNNNNNNNNNNNNNNNNNNNNNNNNNNNNNNNNNNNNNNNNNNNNNNNNNNNNNNNNNNNNNNNNNNNNNNNNNNNNNNNNNNNNNNNNNNNNNNNNNNNNNNNNNNNNNNNNNNNNNNNNNNNNNNUUUUAGAAUUUUCCUUUUAUAUUUUUUAUUUGGUUUUUCUUUUUCUUUAUUUAUUAUCCUAUGUGGAAGCAUAUAAUUGGUGGCUUGUGGGAAUAAGUGUGCGGUAUGUGGAAAAGUUAGUGUGGCAUGUGGAAAGAUGAGGGUGGAGUGUGGAAAAAUCAGUAGGGCGUGUGCCUUUUGCAUGUAUCCAAUGAAAAAUGAAAAGUGAGGUGUUGGGGUGACAUAGUGAGGUGACAAAGAUGCUAUGUAUUUAAUUAUUUUCAAUUUUUUUUUGGGGAAAAAUUAUCAUUUAAACAAAAGUAUGGUAAGGUGAAUAAAAUAAAAAUAAAAAUAAAAAUAAAAUAAAAUAAAAAUGAUUAAAAUAUUUUUGGGAAAGUAUAAAAUUACGUGUCUACAACGACUUUGAGGAAAUUUUUGUGUAAAAGUUAGAUUUAAUUAUAUCGUUAUGAUGUCUCUAUCACCGUAUUAUUUUAUUGCAGUUUACAGGUGGUAGAUGAAUGUAGAUUGACUUUGAGAAAUUUUUUUGGUAAACGUUAGGUUUAAUUAAAUAAAAUUUCUAAAAGAUAUUGAAUUUAAUUAUUGUAUUCAUUUUUAUUAUUUAAACAAAUAUCCUAUUUGAUGUAACGUUUGAACUCAAUAAAGUGAGGUACACAUGCGAGACACAUACACUUAGAGUAUAUAUAUAUAUAUAUAUGUAUGUAUGUAUAUAUAUCGAGUAUUUAAUGACUACGAAUGAUGAUAGUCAGGCGGAUGAAUUUAAACAUAAAUUAAAAAUAAAGGAAGUCAAUUCUUCAUUACUUGGUCCCCUUUGUUGUUGAUUAUUUCGACUCGGGAAAACAAACGGAUUAUUUGGUGCUCGUUUUUCCAUAUCCAAUACGGAUUAGGCUUUAAUUAAUAAGAUAAUUAGCAAUUAUUAGGAAAUAAGGUAAUCCUAAUUUGAGUUGAUAAAAGGUUAAUAGUUCAUCUAUAUAAACAGAUAAACAUUCUAACUAUUCUUUCACCCUCAAAAUACAUCAACUUCAAUAGUAUUCGUUUAUUUUUUUUGAGAAUCAACGGAGAAAUCAACAAAGAACAUCGAAAUUGAAAAUCCAACCAAUGACCCGAAGCACUAUUAUGUGGCCUUGGGGAUGGUGAUCGGACUGAUUUUAGCAUUGGGUGUUAUCCAAAGUUUCGUCUUAUAUCGUCAACCUCACAUACUCCUAGUGUUAUUAUAACAAGAAAUGAUCAAGAACCCUAAUAAUAAUUAUAUUCUCUACUACGACGAUCUUGAGGCGAAGAUUACAUACAAUGACAACGUUUAUUGGCAAGCCAAUGUUUCUUCAAACUUCCAUCAAGUGGAAAACACUCAAACCCUAAUUGAUGCAGCGUUUGGUGCUUUGAAUGAUAAUAAUAUUGAUUAUAUUGUUGACUAUGUUGUUCGUGAAGUUCAUGUUGGUCAUCCAACUAGAUUUUCAGUGAGUUUAAAUGGGAAAGUUCAAAUGACUCAUCGGGAAGCACAUAAUCACUUAGACUGUGGAAAACUACAGGUUUCUUGUGAAGGUUUGGAAGUUGAGUUCUUACCGAAUGGAAAUAUUGGAACGUUAGAGGUUAUCUCAAAUGCCUGUGAUGUACUUCUGCGACCAUCAGUUUGUUGAUUAUCAUGGCGGAUCUAAAGGGAGUGUAAUUGGGAGCUACAAUAGAGUGAUAAAGCUAGAGAUCACGUAGAAUUUUUAUAUAGAGAGGGCAUAAGUGAGCCAAAAAUGUAAUCAAAGGGAUAUUUUUUUUUUUGGGUAAACAACAUAAAUUCCAACACUUUGCUAUCUAAUUACUCUCUCUCCCAACUUUUAUAUUAAUUACUUAAUAUCCCGGAUAUGAUACAUAAGUUUGGUCCGAAUAUAUAACCUACAGAUACAU